GCAAGUAACUGUUAUCUUAGUACUAAUUAAUUCGGAUUAAAGUGACUUUUUUACUUAAUUUGUACCAGGUGAAGUUAAAACCAGCUCGUUUGAGGAGUUCCAGGUACAACAUAUUUGCAGACAUUUUUUUUAUCAUCUUAAAUGGAAAAUGCAUAAAUACUGUUAUGAGAAUGUUAUUUCAGCAAAUGUUGAACACCUGAAUCACAUAAUUAGGCCAUUACGAGAUAAUUCAGCCAUUUAAUUCAGGUGUGUUGGACUUAGGACAUAUUGAAAAGUUCCUCUCCUGUCUUCAGUUUAGGUGGACAGCCAUACAUUGGUGUGAUAAAGCAGGAAAAAUCGAGGAAAUCGUCUUUUAAGAAAGUCUUCAUAUUUGGCAUUUGCCCACUGGAUUCUGGAGGAAACAUAUCGUCCAAUACCUCGUCUGACUUUAGAAGAAGUAAAAUGUUUGCACAAAGGUAACCUGUGGCGUAAAAAA
Poecilia latipinna (sailfin molly) is the source of this 475-nucleotide long non-coding RNA. RefSeq lists it as uncharacterized. The record is from RefSeq and is a predicted model, not a curated record. The transcript has 2 exons. NCBI's taxonomy places the organism in Eukaryota, Metazoa, Chordata, Actinopteri, Cyprinodontiformes, Poeciliidae.